CCUACGGGAGGCAGCAGUGAGGAAUAUUGGUCAAUGGACGAGAGUCUGAACCAGCCAAGUAGCGUGAAGGAUGACUGCCCUAUGGGUUGUAAACUUCUUUUAUAUGGGAAUAAAACGCUCCACGUGUGUGAUUUUGUAUGUACCAUAUGAAUAAGGAUCGGCUAACUCCGUGCCAGCAGCCGCGGUAAUACGGAGGAUCCGAGCGUUAUCCGGAUUUAUUGGGUUUAAAGGGAGCGUAGGUGGAUUGUUAAGUCAGUUGUGAAAGUUUGCGGCUCAACCGUAAAAUUGCAGUUGAAACUGGCAGUCUUGAGUACAGUAGAGGUAGGCGGAAUUCGUGGUGUAGCGGUGAAAUGCUUAGAUAUCACGAAGAACUCCGAUUGCGAAGGCAGUUCACUGGACUGCAACUGACACUGAGGCUCGAAAGUGUGGGUAUCAAACAGGAUUAGAUACCCCUGUAGUC
This 460-nucleotide ribosomal RNA is filed under the name uncultured bacterium. Its description in RNAcentral is "partial 16S ribosomal RNA". It matches the Rfam family "Bacterial small subunit ribosomal RNA", at positions 338 to 795 of the family's 1533-position model. The record is from RNAcentral.